Molecule: ribosomal RNA, 511 nt
Filed under: uncultured organism
Description: bacterial SSU rRNA
Rfam family: Bacterial small subunit ribosomal RNA
Source: RNAcentral
UGGAGCAUGUGGUUUAAUUCGAUGCUACGCGAAAAACCUUACCUACCCUUGACAUCCUCGAAAUCCUGCAGAGAUGCAGGAGUGCCUUCGGGAAUCGAGAGACAGGUGCUGCAUGGCUGUCGUCAGUUCGUGUCGUGAGAUGUUGGGUUAAGUCCCGUAACGAGCGCAACCCUUGUCCUUAGUUGCCAGCACAUUAUGGUGGGCACUCUAAGGAGACUGCCGGUGAUAAACCGGAGGAAGGCGGGGAUGACGUCAAGUCAUCAUGGCCCUUACGGGUAGGGCUACACACGUGCUACAAUGGGGAGUACAAAGGGUUGCCAAGCCGUGAGGUGGAGCUAAUCCCAAAAAACUUCUCGUAGUCCGGAUUGAAGUCUGCAACUCGACUUCAUGAAGCUGAAAUCGCUAGUAAUCGCGAAUCAGAAUGUCGCGGUGAAUACGUUCUCGGGUCUUGUACACACCGCCCGUCACACCAUGGGAGUGACUUGUACCAGAAGCGGGUAGGCUAACCGCA